AUUGAACGCUGGCGGCAUGCCUUACACAUGCAAGUCGAACGGCAGCACGGGGCAACCUGGUGGCGAGUGGCGAACGGGUGAGUAAUGCAUCGGAACGUGCCAUUGAGUGGGGGAUAACGUAGCGAAAGUUGCGCUAAUACCGCAUAUUCUGUGAGCAGGAAAGCAGGGGACCGCAAGGCCUUGCGCUCUUUGAGCGGCCGAUGUCAGAUUAGCUAAUUGGUGAGGUAACGGCUUACCAAGGCGACGAUCUGUAGCGGGUCUGAGAGGAUGAUCCGCCACACUGGAACUGAGACACGGUCCAGACUCCUACGGGAGGCAGCAGUGGGGGAAUUUUGGACAAUGGGCGCAAGCCUGAUCCAGCCAUGCCGCGUGAGUGAAGAAGGCC
Molecule: ribosomal RNA, 385 nt
Filed under: uncultured bacterium
Lineage: Bacteria
Description: bacterial SSU rRNA
Rfam family: Bacterial small subunit ribosomal RNA
Source: RNAcentral